RNAcentral lists this ribosomal RNA (567 nucleotides) under Ingerophrynus galeatus (bony-headed toad). RNAcentral describes it as "partial 16S ribosomal RNA". It matches the Rfam family "Bacterial large subunit ribosomal RNA", at positions 1819 to 2597 of the family's 2925-position model. The record is from RNAcentral. Lineage: Eukaryota; Metazoa; Chordata; Amphibia; Anura; Bufonidae.
CGCCUCUUGAAACAUUAUAAGAGGUCCAGCCUGCCCAGUGACUCUGUUCAACGGCCGCGGUAUCCUAACCGUGCGAAGGUAGCGUAAUCACUUGUUCUUUAAAUGAGGACUUGUAUGAACGGCACCACGAAGGUUAUACUGUCUCCUCUCUCUAAUCAGUGAAACUAAUCUCCCCGUGAAGAAGCGGGGAUAAAAAUAUAAGACGAGAAGACCCUAUGGAGCUUAAAACAACAUAGCACUUAUCACACAAUUUUGACUUCCCGAACCUUCAUCACACAACAGAUAAUAUGACUAUAAGUUUUUGGUUGGGGUGACCACGGAGCAUAACACAACCUCCAUGUUGAAAGAAUCAACUUCUAAACUAAGAACCACACUUCUAAGAAUCAAUAUCUUGACAUCAAUUGACCCAAUAUAUUUGAUCAACGAACCAAGUUACCCUAGGGAUAACAGCGCAAUCCACUUCAAGAGCUCCUAUCGACAAGUGGGUUUACGACCUCGAUGUUGGAUCAGGGUUUCCCAGUGGUGCAGCCGCUACUAAAGGUUCGUUUGUUCAACGAUUAAAACCCU